Molecule: ribosomal RNA, 492 nt
Filed under: uncultured bacterium
Lineage: Bacteria
Description: partial 16S ribosomal RNA
Rfam family: Bacterial small subunit ribosomal RNA
Source: RNAcentral
AGUGAACGCUGGCGGUAGGCCUAACACAUGCAAGUCGAACGGCAGCACAGUAAGAGCUUGCUCUUACGGGUGGCGAGUGGCGGACGGGUGAGGAAUACAUCGGAAUCUACUUUUUCGUGGGGGAUAACGUAGGGAAACUUACGCUAAUACCGCAUACGACCUACGGGUGAAAGCAGGGGAUCUUCGGACCUUGCGCGAUUGACAGAGCCGAUGUCGGAUUAGCUAGUUGGCGGGGUAAAGGCCCACCAAGGCGACGAUCCGUAGCUGGUCUGAGAGGAUGAUCAGCCAACCGGGAACUGAGACACGGUCCAGACUCCUACGGGAGGCAGAAGUGGGGAAUAUUGGACAAUGGGCGCAAGCCUGAUCCAGCCAGACCGCGUGGGUGAAGAAGGCCUUCGGGUUGUAAAGCCCUUUUGUUGGGAAAGAAAAGCAGCAGGUUAAUACCCCGCUGUUCUGACGGUACCCAAAGAAUAAGCACCGGCUAACUUCGUG